RNAcentral lists this ribosomal RNA (497 nucleotides) under uncultured bacterium. RNAcentral describes it as "partial 16S ribosomal RNA". It matches the Rfam family "Bacterial small subunit ribosomal RNA", at positions 28 to 507 of the family's 1533-position model. The record is from RNAcentral.
GACGAACGCUGGCGGCGUGCCUAAUACAUGCAAGUUGAGCGAUGAAGCUUGGUGCUUGCACCAAUUUGAAGAGCAGCGAACGGGUGAGUAACGCGUGGGGAAUCUGCCUUUGAGCGGGGGACAACAUUUGGAAACGAAUGCUAAUACCGCAUAACAACUUUAAACAUAAGUUUUAAGUUUGAAAGAUGCAAUUGCAUCACUCAAAGAUGAUCCCGCGUUGUAUUAGCUAGUUGGUGAGGUAAAGGCUCACCAAGGCGAUGAUACAUAGCCGACCUGAGAGGGUGAUCGGCCAUAUUGGGACUGAGACACGGCCCAAACUCCUACGGGAGGCAGCAGUAGGGAAUCUUCGGCAAUGGACGAAAGUCUGACCGAGCAACGCCGCGUGAGUGAAGAAGGUUUUCGGAUCGUAAAACUCUGUUGGUAGAGAAGAACGUUGGUGAGAGUGGAAAGCUCAUCAAGUGACGGUAACUACCCAGAAAGGGACGGCUAACUACGUG